RNAcentral lists this long non-coding RNA (2909 nucleotides) under Homo sapiens (human). RNAcentral describes it as "HSALNT0009461". The record is from RNAcentral. Lineage: Eukaryota; Metazoa; Chordata; Mammalia; Primates; Hominidae.
AUAAGGGCAGGGAUUUAGAAGGAGAAAGAGUUAUAUCAUCAGAAUUUUAUUAAAACUGCUUGGGAUUUUAUAGAUCAUCUGUUUGAAAUCUCACAUUUUAUGACAGAGAAACUGAGAAAGAUACAGCUAGAAAAAUAUAAAGAGCAGAUAAGUGGAUGGAUCCAAUGGACAUGUUGUGCGUUGAAUGAAAUCUUUGCAUUUGUAAUUAUUUCAGAAGGCCCUGGGUACGAUCACUCACAGGUCUAGGUAGUAGAAAACUGCUGUCCUUUCUAAUUCAUUCUCCCUGCCCCCAUUACUUUCUAAUGCCUUCCAGCAUCUAAAAGCCUGUUUCUCCAGAGAAGCUACAGAGCUGAUGUUUACAAAACUCAGAGAUAGUGCAGAAGAUAUUUUUAGAAUUGUCUAAGUGCUAGGAACAAUGUGUGGUAGAUGCUGUGGAGCCCAUUCAGAUGACCUGCCAAUACUGAGUUUCUUAUUUCCCCAGCUUCUGGGAAUAAGGGCUGCUGACUGGCUCACAGCCCAGGCCAUUCUCUGUGAACCGCCAUUGGUCAAAGUGGCCCAUCCAAGUUAUUCUCCUCCUGGAGGUGUCAGUCUGCACCCAAUCACUGGUCAGUGUAAGGGUAUAAUGACACAGUGUGCUUGCCUUGAUUUGGGACAACUCUGAGAGCCGUUUCUGUUUCAGAGUUCCCCGUAGGGUCAGCCAAAGCUCCGCGGCAGUUGCACUGCAGGUCUAGUUCUCCCUGGAUCCAUCUUGCUUCCUUCAUUCCCCAGCAAACCUGCUACAGGCACAUCUCUAUCUCAAAGUCUAUUUCCCAGAGAACCCAUACUAAGACAAUGUAACUGAACCAUUACAUAUGAAAUCAUUACAAAAUGUAGAGUUUAUUUUACCAGAAGUUGUGUUGUUUUCAACUUCUUAAAACAAAAGUAGGGACCUGGUUUCAGAGUUAUAGACCCUCUCCUCCCAGAAGGAAGAAUAGAGCUGAACAAUUAUCUGUGAAAUUUGAUCCAUUUAGAUAACCAAUUUUGCUUGACUAUUCCUUCCUUUGUAAGAAGAAGCCUUUAUACUGGUUAAUGUUAUUCUUGUUUCUGUUUUGAAGCUAUAGGUAUAUACAAAAGGAAAAUUAACCUGUGGGCCAUCAUCAUCUUUGCUACUCAAAGUAUGAUUGCUGUACCAGCAGCCUGGGCAUCACUCGUGAGCUUGUUAGAAAUGCAGACUCUCAGGCCCCACUCCAGCCCCACUGACUCAUCAUCUGCAUUUGAUCAAGACUCCCAGGUGUCUCAUAUGCACACUAAACUUUGAUAAUCACUAAACUAUACCACUGUUGUUAAAUCAGCCUGCUUGUUAAGACUGGGCAUUGUGCAAACGGAAAACAAGCAUUGGAGUCAGAAGAAUUCAAUUUCUGCCUCCUUCUUGCAGAGCACCUUGGGCAAAAACAACCAUAAAGACUUUUGCCCACAUUUUUUCCUCACUCCCUCUUCCAUCUAACCAACCCUGAUGCUUUUGUGUGGCCCUGUGUGGUGAGGCAUGCCUCCUUCUCUGGAAAACUGUGAGUAACACAUUAUCUUUUCAAUGCCAAUCAUCUUCUCCUCUGUUGACCUUAGCAAACUUGAAUAAACAUAAAACUUACAUUUUAAGAGUUGUCUCACUUUCUAACACUUCUAUAGUCUAGGGUUCAUUUUUUCCAUUUUUUGAGAAGACAAAGCUAAGACUCCUCCAUCUAUCUUAGAGCCUUCCAUCUUCUUUAAACCAAUAUGGUAUGGUGAGAAGAGGGAAAUAUUUCUAGUAAAAUAGAUUGGUCAGAAUUCAAAUAUCACCUAGUAUGACUCUGGCAGUAACAAAUAGCUGCAAGCAUCUUAGUCAUUCUAUACAUAAAAGUGUAUUGCCCACUCACCAAACCCUCUGCAAGUCUGGAUACUCUCCAGUGCAGCUCACUUCCCAGCAGCUAAGUAUGGAUUCUUCCAGGUUCUAUUUUGUAGCUCCAUCAUCUCAACUCAUGGCUUCUGGGGUCUUCAAGACCUCAGGCAAGAAGAAAGUGAAAAGAACACACACUGAUCAUAAGCAUUAUAUCUGGAGAUGACACGUCACAUUCAUACACAGGUUAUUGGCCAGAAGUCAUCAUAUAACUAACCUAACAAGGAAGUUUGUAAAUAUAGUGGAGUACAUGAAUAUUUGGUGAGUGCUUCCUGUGACAACCACUUCUGCCACUUUUUAGCUUUUUUGCCUUGGGAAAUAUCUUUACCUUCCAUUAGCAUAUUGUGGUGUCCCAAGUGCAGAGUUCAAUAGCGAUUCUACUGGAAAAAUAAGUUGUGAAUCAUUCCUUCCAUUUCUAACACAUGGAUGCAAUGAGUUUAAUAUUCAUUCACUCUGUAGUCACUCAGAGCUCCAUGAACUUUCCUUGGUGGAGUAACCUCUUUACUUAUACUUACAAUAUAAAUUACUAAAAAUUGCAUUCCAUUUUGUCCUUAUUUUCACUUUCAACUUUGGCUUGAGGCUUCUUGUAUGUUUUUAUUUGGGUUGUGUUGAUUUUUUUAAUAUAUAUAUAGUCUAGAAACAGAAUCAUACACAGAUAACUGUCUCAAUAUUCAAAUAGGUCUAAAGAAAAUUGGAGUCUCUUUUAGGAUACCACAGAAAUUAAAUCAACCUAUCAUUUCCUGCUUUAGCUACUUUAUUUCUCUUUUUAUCUGCUGUUUCUCCCUAUUCUGAGUGUCUCUCCAAUUGUAGCACCUCUUUGGGGCCACGUCAUGUGGGACCCCUUCAUAGAUCACUGUUCAGUCUAUAUAUGGUUGUGUUGGUCGCUUACAUAGUCCCAAUACAAUCUGGCACUGUAAGAGUUGCUGAAGGUCAUAUGACACCCUGCACUGUAUAACUCACCCCCGUCAGCUUAUCUCAAAAGAUAGCUUUGGUUGUAGCA